RNAcentral lists this ribosomal RNA (465 nucleotides) under uncultured bacterium. RNAcentral describes it as "partial 16S ribosomal RNA". It matches the Rfam family "Bacterial small subunit ribosomal RNA", at positions 28 to 507 of the family's 1533-position model. The record is from RNAcentral.
GACGAACGCUGGCGGCGUGCUUAACACAUGCAAGUCGUACGGUAAGGCCCUUUCGGGGGUACACGAGUGGCGAACGGGUGAGUAACACGUGAGUAACCUGCCCACAACUUUGGGAUAACGCUAGGAAACUGGUGCUAAUACUGGAUAUGUGCUCCUGCUGCAUGGUGGGGGUUGGAAAGCUCCGGCGGUUGUGGAUGGACUCGCGGCCUAUCAGCUUGUUGGUGGGGUAGUGGCCUACCAAGGCUGCGACGGGUAGCCGGCCUAAGAGGGUGACCGGCCACAUUGGGACUGAGAUACGGCCCAGACGUCUACGGGAGGCAGCAGUGGGGAAUAUUGCACAAGGGGCGCGAGCCUGAUGCAGCAACGCCGCGUGCGGGAUGACGGCCUUCGGGUUGUAAACCGCUUUCAGCAGGGACGAAGCUUUUUGUGACGGUAACUGCAGAAGAAGCACCGGCUAACUACGUG